Pantherophis guttatus is the source of this 2457-nucleotide non-coding RNA. The record is from RefSeq and is a predicted model, not a curated record. Lineage: Eukaryota; Metazoa; Chordata; Lepidosauria; Squamata; Colubridae.
GCCUUGCUGCCGCUUUGCUUCCUCGCUCCUAGCUUGAAAGCUUCCUUCUGCGCCUCGGCUACCGCUUACGACUCCGUUUCCUCAAUAAGCCCAACUAAAGUUAGCGUCUUCUGGCCGCUGGGAAACGGCCGAUCCUGUCGCCGGCUUCCGUUCCUCGCCUGUCCUCUGGCUCUAAAAGCCCUUUCGGGCUCCCUUGGAGGAAACAGGCAGGAAGAUCAGGAAAGGGUGGCCGGGAAUGGGAUGAGGAGGGAUACCGGGAAUUUGAGAUGUUUCAGCGGGAAAUGCGGGCGAGAGCUUGAUCAAGAACUGGGUGUCCUUUGCGGUGCGUCAGCGACCCUCGCUUUUCACCGAGGCACCAAAACCUCACCUGGGAACGCAGGGUGGAGCGGAGCCCCAAUCCCACGCGCAGCGCAAAGAGUGCUUGGCUGCCCUUCGGACUGCAAUUUUGCAGCCUCUGCGACUGUAUGUUUGAUAUCCGUUUCCAAACUUUUUCUAGUUGUCUUGAGGUGAUCCCACCGUCUGGGAAAAUGUCCUUAUUUUUUUUAUUGGGAAGGAGGAGCGCCUGUUCAUAUGCAAUUACGGUGUGGUGUUUCUACUUUGCCUCCUUCGUCUGGUGGCAUUAUUUACAGAGUAAGCACUAUUAAAUAGGGUCUACUGUAAGAUAAAAGGUCUAACCAGUAAUGUUCACCCCCAACUAUUAUCUUAUUUGAACUCCAUCUGCAUUUAAGAGACAAAGUCUACUCUUUUGAAGACAGCAAUGUCCACAUUUUGGAUAGAGAGGACCGUCGGUUUGAAAGAGGAGUCAAAGAGGCCAUCUGUGUCAAAACUGACACAGAGGGGGAAGGAUACAACAUCAUCUAUCUCCAAUCUACAACACAGUCCUUUCAACAAUUCCAAGAAAACUCCACACCCAUUUGCCCUACUCAGGUGACCCUGAUGACACAGAUAGAUGUCCAGGUGGCCUCAACGGCUCUAUAAAAGAAUGCAAAUGACCAGUUGUCUGCAAGGAGUAUAAAUCCUUCCAUUCCCCACCCUCCAGUCACAGCUGAAGAAAUUUCUUGGAUGAGAAGUGGAAUGUCUUCAAAGAAAAACCAAAAAGUCCAGUUGCCUUUGAAAAAACACCUUUGGGACUACCUUUCAUACUGUAUGUGUGGAUCCAAUUUAUUAGCUAGACCAUGUUGUGUGGGAAAUUUGGGGGUCUCAUAUCAUUUCUGGGGAACUCAGGAUUGGAAAGACAGUGUUUGUUUGUUUGUUUGUUUGUUUGUUUGUUUGUUUGUUUGAUUGAUUGAUUAGCCAUCCCAGUCUACAUGACUCUGAGCAACUUAUAAAAUAUGAAGUAAAAUUAUAAAGAAAGAGUAUAUAAUCUAAAAGAAUAAGCCCCAGGGAAAAGUAACCAUCACUUAAAUUCCCAAAACAUUUUAGAAAGAGUCUUCCACAUAUUCUAACUGGGGGUCUAGGGAUGGAGCCAGGUUUUAAGACAUUUAAACAGGGCCAUGAUGGAGGCCAUAUGAAUCUAGGGUGGGAUGGUAUCUCAAGAGUAGGUGCCAUGAUGGAGGUCUACCUCUCUGUGAACCUGUUAAGGAUCCACAGAAAUGUUCUGUCUCCACUGGGGUCAAUGGAGCUCAUUCAGAGAUUAAGUGAUAAUCAUUUAAAAACUUUCUUCAAACUAAAAUCAUGCUUUACAUUUUACAUUUUCUUGGGAAUAAAUGAACUAUUUAUAUAAAUAGUAUACAAAGAAAGGAAUACAGUGUUGUUUAAAAUUUAUUCCACGUUUUUUCAGAAGAUAGUAAGAACUUUAACCAUGUUCAAGGAUUAAUUGCAACGUGGUUGGAUUAUUGCAACGCGGUCUACAUGGGGCUACCCCUGAAAAGUGUUCGGAGACUACAGUUGGUCCAGAAUGUAGCCACUCGAGCAGUCGUGGGUGCACCUAGGUACUCCCACAUUACACCAAUCCUCCAUGAGCUGCACUGGCUUCCUAUUGGUCUCUGGUCACAAUUCAAGGUGUUGGUUAUUACCUUUAAAGCCCUAUAUGGCUUAGGGCCAGGCUAUCUUCGAGACCAUCUUCUACCACAUAGCUCCCAAUGACCGGUAAGAUCCCACAGAGUUGGUCUCCUCCAGGUCCCGUCAGCUAAACAAUGUCGCCUGAUGGGUCCGCGGGGGAGGGCCUUCUCUGUGGCUGCCCUGGCUCUCUGGAAUCAGCUACCUCCUGAGGCCAGGACCACUCCCACUCUACUGGCCUUCCGGAAAAUGGUGAAAACCUGGCUUUUCCAGCAGGCUUGGGGCCGUUGAUCUCACCAUUGCGAUCUUGUGAGAUCCGGCCAUGAGCGGUGUGUAUGGGUUUUUAAUGUCUCUUAUUGUAUAUUGUUCAUACUGUCUUUGUUGUAAGCCGCCCAGAGUCCUCGGAGAGUUGGGCAGCAUAGAAAUAUGAUUAAUUAAUUAAUUAAUUAAUUAAUUAAU